CGUAGGCGGCAAGCGUUGUCCGGAAUUAUUGGGCGUAAAGGGAGCGCAGGCGGGAAACUAAGCGGAUCUUAAAAGUGCGGGGCUCAACCCCGUGAGGGGUCCGAACUGGUUUUCUUGAGUGCAGGAGAGGAAAGCGGAAUUCCCAGUGUAGCGGUGAAAUGCGUAGAUAUUGGGAAGAACACCAGUGGCGAAGGCGGCUUUCUGGACUGUAACUGACGCUGAGGCUCGAAAGCUAGGGGUAGCGAACGGGAUU
This 253-nucleotide ribosomal RNA is filed under the name uncultured bacterium. RNAcentral's name for it is "partial 16S ribosomal RNA". It matches the Rfam family "Bacterial small subunit ribosomal RNA", at positions 526 to 779 of the family's 1533-position model. The record is from RNAcentral.